AAAGAAAAAAAAAAAAGACAGAAGAGGAGGAAGCAGCCGUGCCAAAAAAAAAAAAAAGGAAGCAGCCAUGCCAAGGCUAGGUACUGACUGAAGCAGGAGGAACAAAUUGGAAAUGUGGGAAUGCAGAUGUGGGCAAGUUGAGGGUCUUGUAGCUUCUCUUCGGUUGAUCUUUUCACUGAAGCUGCUUUGUUAUAUCUGACAUGUGAAACUGCACAAUUUCAAACCUAUAUUGAAGUCAACAUACAAAAAAGCAUUUUAGAAACAACCAUUAGUAAAAAUACUUUUUUCAGCUAUUCUUCCCUUGUAUGGGUGUUGAUAAUCAGAUAAUCAACUAGCUUAUUGCAUAUAGAAAAUUGUUUUCUUUGAGUUAAUUCAACGUGUUGCAACUUAGUUAGAAUCCAGGAAAAUAGUAUUUUCCAAUAUGUAUUUGGAAUCUUCAAAGUAUUAGGUUACAAAUUACCUUAAAAUAAGAAAUAUUUAUGCAGCAUAGAAGAACCAGCAGUUCUCCGAGGAGGAUAAAUAGCAGUCAAAAUAUCAUAAUGCACUUUAUAUCAGUUGUAAAAAGAAAAAUACAGGCUUGGAUUUAUGGUAUUACCAUUAGAAAAACAAUGAGUAUUUAAGAAACAUAGCAACCUUAGCCAUUAAAUAGGCAUCAAAUAACAUUCUGAAUUAAGUUAUAAGAUUAAAUGAAGAUUUGGAUGACAAUGACAAUAUUGUCCAUCAUUGUCAUCCAAAUCCUGGUUUUAUCUUAUAACUGUUUUUAGGGGUAAUUCUAGUGAAUUGUCGCUAUAAGAUGUUUGAAAUUAGUUCCAUACACUUUUCCUGAAUCAAUUUAAAUAUUGUUUUCACAAACAAUAAGAUGGUAUACUGUAGCAUGUCUGCACUAAAAAGAAAAAAAAUACUCCACAGGUGGGGAGUAAUUUCAGUAGAGGAAAGUGAUGAAUAUUGGAUGUGAGUUCAGAAACCAGAGGUUGAUAAAGUCUUGUGAUUGCUAUAUGCAUUAUGAAGCUACUGUGUUUUGAAAAUUGCAAAACAGUCAUUUUUAAAGAACAAAAAUUUGGUGAGUAGCAUACGCAGAUUUCAAACAUAAAUUGCAUAACUUCAUAUUUCAGUAAUUAAAGAUUUAACAAUUGGGAUUUUGUGACUAAACAAAAUAUACUGAACCCAUUACGUAUAAGCCAUGGAUUCAAAGCUCCAGAAAGUUAUCUUAAUGAGGCAUGUAAACUCUUUUUGUUUAAUGUCCACACCAGAUCAUUAUGGUCUGCCAUUUCAUGAAAUAGCAAGACUUUUAAAAUAAGUGAUGUUUUUUAGUUUGUAUUUCUAUAUUCUUUCCUACCAGGUAUAGCACAGUGUAGUACAAGGGCCUACAGUUAUAAGCCUCGGGAAAGAUGCUGUUUUGGCCACAUAUUUCAUCUGUGUGACCCUGGAAAGAGGGUCUCAGAGGGUCACUGUGGCCCUCAGUGUCUUUUCAUUGGUAAGUGGGUCAUCAUCUCUUGUAUAAUGAGAGCUGAAAAAAGUACCAUUUUCCUUUUAUUCUCCCUUCCUUUCAUUUAGGCUGUAGUUUUCACUUUUUAACUACAAAGCAGUUUAUCUCUUGAUAACACUUCUAGUGUAUUGUCCCUAAAAUAUUUUUGAAAGUAGUUCUAUACACUUUUCCUGAGUAAUAAAAACAUCACAUAUUUGCUAACUUGAAAGAAUCCCGAGUCAGGAAAUGGCCUGGAUUCUCUCUGACCUUCAACUAAAGUCUUUGACCAAAGGAGCACAGGUGACCCCUCUCUGCUUCAUUUUCUGACUUAUAGAGUAUUGGACUCAAUGACCGAUCCUCCUCCCUUCUAGCUCCAAAAUACUGGGCUAAACUCCAUGCAACUCCCUUCUGAAUAAAAAUAGUAGACAGGCAUGCACUAUCAACAUUUGUAGAAAAAUAUGAAAUGCUUACAGUCACUUUGUAAUUGACUCUAAGGUUUGAAUGCAUAGAGUUUAAAUGCAAUAAUUGUGUUGAUAACAACAAAGACAUGUAAGUUUUUAUGUACCUUUAUGUUCUGUGCAUUAGUCCUUCAUUUCUGGGCAUGAGGAGAAGUGAUGGUUUCUCAGUGACUUUCCAGAACUCUAAGGCUGUGUUUCUCACACCAGGCCUCAGGGUUUCUACAUUUUGAACAAAUUUCCAAUAUUGUACCCGUGCACACCUAAGUCUAAGAACUCUGCUGUAAGGUGACAUUAAACAACACCUGAAGUUAUAUUUGAGAUGAUUACUAAGUAAUCAUUGUACGGUUGAUUUUCAUAAUAUGGAUUCAAACACUGAAUAGAGCACAGUUUUAAUUAAAUCUGUAUUUCUCAGUUGAAACUUUAUUUUAGCAUUACAUGACUUCUAUUUCAUGAAUCAUAAAUGUCAUGUGUCUUCACAAACUGUAGUUCUGAAUUUAAUUCAUUCACCAUUUUGUCGUCAGAAAGAAGAGUUGAUGUUUUUGAAAGAUCUAAACAGCUUUGCAGCUGAUGUUCUAAAGAAAUAAAAUAUACUGCUGAACGCAGAACAAGCCUUUGCACUAAAUUAAUGUGAGUUUGAAUUUCUGAGUUUCAGUAAUAAUAAUUUCUGUCUUUGGCAAUCAUUUUUGGACUGAUGCGCAUUAUGUUUUAUUCUUUUUGGACUUUAUUCCAUGGAUUUCCAAAGGACAUCAAUUCGCUUUAUUUCUGGAAGAUGUAACACAAAUUAAGUAAUGUGCCUUUGAUUCUAAUGUACCUGUUACACCUUAACUAAAGCAUGAGCAACAUCAUUUUUAAAAGCAUUUCUUUGACAUGAGAAUAUAUGACAGAAACCAUCGUAAAUAGGACUUUUUGAAAACUACUUUGCUGAAAGGGGUGUUUUGUAAAGGAUAUUAUGUUCUGAAGACCUAAAGGUGGGUUCUGUUUAUGUAAUAAAAGUGUAUGAACCUAUAUAAUUUCAUGGCUUAUUGGCUUAUAGGGCCUUUUAUUCAUGAUCAGUUAUAAAAUGUAUUUUGUGCUGGAUUUUAAAUUUCUGGAAAAUUUCAAAAUACUGAUGAAAGGGCCCCUGGUAAUGACUCAGCAGGCUUUCCAUUCCAGAUUUAUCUCUUUGAGAAAAAAGAACAGUGUUUCUCAUUAUCACCAUGAAAAUAAAUAGACGCUGUUUCAAACCGUGUUAAUCAUUUAGUUGGUUAAUUAGCAAUAAUCAUUUUGCAGAAUAAAUUCAGACCUUCCAGUAAUGUGUUGAUAACUGUCAAAAAUCCUUUUUUCUAAAUCUAGCUGGCAAAGGCUUUCAUUUUGGAAUUCAGGAAGCAGGGGAGAUUUUAUUUACCACCCAGUUCCUGUUGCUAGUCCUUUUGAAUUUUGCCUUUCAGAGUUGUUUUUUGUUUGUUUGUUUGUUUGUUUUUAUUCUUUUUGUUAUUCCCCAGUGGCAAGUUAUUUAUUGCUUCUUUUGGCCACUUAUCAAAUAGCAGUUGGUAAUCGGGAGAUUUUACGUGGUAUUUAGAAUAGUUUUUUGCUUUUUUUCUAGUGUUUCUAGUUGAACUAUGAUGGAUUAAGGGUAACUGGGUAAUUUUUCUCUUGACAUCAAUGCCCUUUAAGCUCUUUUGGGCUGUGAUCCUGCUCUUGUUAUUAGCUUUCAUUCUGUUCAUUAAUCAGUGUUUUCAUUCUGGCAGUUUUUCCUUUUCUUUCUCCUUCUUGUUUCUGAGAUUAAAAAGUGAAAGCAGUCUUUUACAAGGAUCUAUUGUUUGUUAUCUUUUAGGCAAACCCAAAUAUUUAUUUCUCUCUUUUGCCUUCAUACCCAAAUUUAUUGCAAAUGCAUGAUAAACUUUCGGAUUCUCAAAAAUCUUCUCAGGGUUUCUGCUUUCCAGGUUUUAGAAAUUAGAUUAUCUGAUUUCAAGGCCUUAGAUUUUCAAAUUGCCCUUUUGUAUGCAUCUAUUCUAUUCGCUUUUCUUUUCAGUUCUAAGUCUAUGUUUAUGUGUAAAAUGCUUCUCUUGUUUCUGACAUUUUCCAAUUUAGUAUCAAUUUCUAAUAAUGAACCACUUUUACCUGCUUGUCUUCCAUGUGGAUGCUUAAUAAAUACUAUAACUUAGGUAUACAGUUUCAUGGAGGAGAAAAGAAUGUGGUUAAUUUUUUGAAAUAGCAAUAAGAAGAAAACAUAUUGUAGCUUUAGCAAGCAUUAUUUUCUUGUGACAGUUUUAUCCUCCUAAUUAUACUUUGCCUAAGCUGGUACUAACGUUAAUUCACGUUCUCCUAAGCAUAUGCCCACUCUUGACAGAUAUACACUGGGGUUGCAAAUUUGGCAUGUAUAAUUUACACAUAAAUAUUCGAUUGCUAAGAAAACUGAGACUAAAUCAGAUGCUGGUCAUUGUCAUCUUUUAAAUUACACUCUGACCUUUCAUCAGUCUACUUAGCGGUGUAAUAACACAAUUGUCUUAAUAUAAAUAAUUCAUUUCUAGUGCUGCAACCCAUUUUUAAAUAUUCAAUUUUAAUAUUUAUUAUAGUUCUGAUAUUUAUUAUCUGAAAUGUUUGGUUAGAUAUUCUUUUUCUGAAUAGUACUUAGUUUCAUGUAAUUUGAUUUUAUUUUUACUAGCUGGAUAAACACACAGUUUCUACUUUAUCUUAAUGCAUCCAACAAAAUCAGUCUUGUAUUAAGUAAUUAAGGUCCAAAAAUCAGUUGGUUCCACUGACUUUGGGCAAUGCAAUGUCCACUCCAAAUCUGUAAUUUGUUUCCCUCUGAUAUUUUGAUAGUGUUCCACAGAGGAUGCCUAAUUGGUGUGAUUAGCCUUCUUCACUGGUGUUUUAUGGACAGUAUAACUGGCUUCUCCCUUGAAAGCAAAUAGUUUUCUUUAUGUUGGGAGUAUUUUUUAAAAAUAGCUUAUCAGCAAAGGUUUUUCUUCUGAGUGUGUUUUUUUAAGCUAAAUCUUUUAGAAAGGCAGCAACCGUUAAUCCUUCAGGGACAUAUAUAAACACACAGGUGGAUUUGCCCAUGCGAGUAUUUGUUUUUAGCUAAUGGAUAGUUUUCUCAAAACAAUCUGUUCUUUUGCCUGUGUGCACCAAAGUGGGUGAAAUAUUUGGGACUACACCAUAAAAAGUAAUCUUGAAUGAUGGCAGUAGGCUAUAAAAGUUCAUCAUGCAGAGAGUAGCAGAAUAUAAUGGAGAAAGCUAUAAACUUAGAAUCAGGAGGCCUGCCACUUAUUAGUUGUGGAACGUGGAUGUGCUCUGGGCCAUUAUUACCUAAUUUAUGUAGCAGAAGGUGGGCUAGAUUGUCUCAAAGUCUCCUUUCAGCUCUAGAGUCACGUGAUUUUUUAGGUGCCUCUUUGGUUAUUUGAGGCUAGCAUUAAAUGCUGACAUUCAUUUGUAAUAUUAUCCUUCUGGUGAGCUCAGGUACCCUGCUGUAAAUGAUAAUGUUUAUCUGAAAUUGCUUACCUUCAAACAGCAGUCUUUAGUAUUUCUUAUUCAGCAUACAUUUGUUGACCAGAUUUUAUGUGCCCAGUACUGGUAAAAAGCCUUAGAGUAACAAAGGUAAAUAAGAUGAAUUUCCCACCCACGAGUAAUUACAUUGCUAUACAGUAAGUACCACAAUGGAAGACCAUAUGAAGUACCAUGGUAGUUCAGAGGAGAGAUUAAUUAAUUUGGCUUUGGGAUGACCAGGUCAGCUUAGAAGGAAAUGGCAUUUAGAUGGAUCUGGAAAGAUUUGUUUGCCAGAUGGAAAACAGGGCUGAGGAUGGCAACUGAAGGGCCUGACAGGUGGGCGCUAGAGCACGGGCAGAAUGAGAUUUCCAAGGCUAAAUAGUAGACCAUGAAUGGGGCUGGGAUAGAGCAUUUUGACUUAAGGAGAGUGGGGAAGAAUGGCCUGGAAGUGAAAUGAGGAAUUAGGGCAUUUGUAGGUUGCCAACACUUCCUCUUGGCCAUCUCCACAUGUUGAAGAGUAAUUCUGGUUUUUUGUUUGUUUGUUUGUUUUUAAUCUGGUGUAUAUUGGGAUAUGCUUGCAUUUCUACAAAAUUUUCACAAGAAUAAUUGGAACAAUAAUCUGUUUAUUGAACAUUUACUAUGCAUUAAGUCUUACUCUCAAUGUCCAAGUCCAGGAUCUAGUUAAGACAUUUUACCAUCUUUUUUUUUUUCCUGAAAAGUUGUUUCAGCACAACAUUCAUAGAACAAACUUAAAAAAAAUUUUUUUUGUUUUGUUUGGCUAUAAGACAAUAAAUCAUUCAUUAAGGAUUAACAUUUUUUGACAGCAACUCACAGAUACAUUUUAAUGAUAGGCAAUGUAUUCACAUAUAAAAUAAUCAUAUUUAGCCUCAGAACCUCAAAUCAAAUCAUUUCAGUCUAUUGAAAGGAUGAAAUGGGAUGUCGAUGGCUUGGAAGCAGUCUUUUGUAAACUUUAAAGUUCUAGAUUAUUGUCAGUAAGUAUAAAUAUCAGGAAGAAGACAUUAUGUAUUCAAUUUUGUGUCUGAGUCUCAGCCUAAUCCCCCAAUGGUUAUGGAGUAGGGUAAGAACUGUAUGUCAAUUUGGAAUCAGACUCUCUGUUUUGAGCCAUUUAAUUUAGACACAUUAUUUUAAUGUAAGCGCUUUUGCUUUUUCUUUGGCAGUCAGUGUGCAAUUUUAAUUAGCACUUGGAACCCGGAAGAAUACAAUGAUGAGCACAAGGCAUGAAGAAAUACGUUCAUAAUGGCCUGCCUGAGGUCUCUGGCAGCACCCAAGAAAGACGCUUUCGGUAUAAUGCUCAAUGCUUCUGAGAAAUCAUCCUUGCUGAUGAUUUAUACUCUUGUACAUUUAAUUAUUUUAGAGUUUCAAAAUAUUGGCAUUAGCAGCUUUGUCAUCUAUACUACACUCAAGGAAUAUUAAUUUCCUAAACUUAUUCUGAUGUAGUAACUGAGGUGUAAGAAAACAACUUAUUUUCUACAUCUGCCUAGGACUCUCUUCCCAACUUUGCCAGUCAAGCUCUUCCACAUCCUUUAAGCCCCAGCUCUAAUAUUCUCCCUCACAGUCUUUUUAACUUCCCUUGGUCAUUUUUUUCAAUAUACACCCAUGGUUCAUGCAUCUUAGCGUCUUAGUGUGCAUGCCACACUGCGUUGUAAUAUUUUUUAAUGCAUUACUCCCCCUGUCAGCUCUCGAUCCCAUAUUUGUAGGAACUGUGUCCGUAUGUGUAUUUUGGUUGCAUCUAGUUGAAAGACAGAGCAUGGUAGAAUAGAAAUAACAUGCACCUUAUAAACUGAUAUAGGUUGAAUCCAAACUGCUCCUUACUUGCUGUGGGGACUGGGGCAAGUUACUUCUUUGAGCUUUUUUAAAACAACAAUAGUAAUACCUGCUAUGCAGGAUUGUUGUGAAGAUUAAAGAAGCUCCAUUCAUUGGUUCAACAAAUAUAUGGAGAAGUCCUAUUACAUGUCAGUAAUUACAAGUGUAACUGUACUUGGUGUUAAGAAUAUAAAGGUAAGUCAUGACUUUGUCCUAAGAACUUUACAAUGUGGUAGUAGAGAAAGACUAGGAGAUAGUUGCAACAUAAUUCUCAAAGGAUGAGUAAGAAUUCACUAGCAUGGGAGUUAUAGGGUUUAGGUUGAAAGCAGCAGGAUUUGAAGUAGAAGCAGAACUGUGUGCAAUGCCUUUAAACCAGGGAGGGGAUGGAAAGUCUAGGGCACAGAGGGAGGUGUAAUGUAGCUGUGAUGGUGGGGUUAGGCUGCAGAUAUAAAUAUUACAAAGGGCCUUGCAAGCUAGGCACAGGGCAGAGGGAACCUGUGAAGAGUAGAUGAUUAGAUUUGCAUUUUAGGAAGAUCUCUUUCCUUGCUGACAUGUGUAAUGGUUUGGGGGAGUCAAGAGAAUCAGUAUGACCAGUGAAGAGGCUGUAGCACAAAAGUGUUAAUGGCCUCAACAGCAGGAGUUACAGUGGAAAUGGGGUGGAGAGAAUAUGUUGAGAGAUAAUUAGGAGCCAGAAAAGGCAGGAUGUGAUACUGUGUACAGGUGGGGGAAAAGUGCGUAAGGAAGACAGAGGAAAUUUCGGGGGAAAUGUACAGAAUUUUGACUUGGGGAUGAUGGUGCUAUUCUCAGAGAUAGGAAAUGCAAGAGAAGCAGUUUAGGGUAUAGGUAGGGAAUGGAAAGUGACUCCAGUGUGGAAAUUGUGGAAUUUGAAGUGCCUAUAGGGAGUGCAGGACAUUUUGACAUCAUCAUUUUGAGCUCUUGUAUGUUUUGACCCUGCUGUUUUUUUUUUUUUUGUUCUUGAAUAUAAAUGUUGCCAUCAAGAUGAUAUCAACACUGAUGAAUUUUGUGGUAAAGAUUUAUUCCAGGGUUAACUUCAUUAAGCUAGUUUAAUUUCUUGACCUAUUUCCUAUAUGGCAAAUUUAAUCUUUUCCCAUUUGUUCCCUCCUGUAUUUUUAUUUUACUAGCACUGUUUCCAUCAGGACAAAAUCUUUCUUGUGUACAUUUUACAAUGAAUACUUGAUUUAUCAACUUCUUUAUCAUCAUCUUUGUCAAAUUUUUACAGAUAUAACUUUUUCAUGGUAAAUGUCAUUUUAGCUCUACUAUUUUUACCAUGUCAAAUUUUGUACAUCCACUUUUUUUGAUUUUUCAUUAAUUUGUGAGCAAUAAUAAUUCUUUACCAUUUUCUGUUUUUGAUAUUUUCAGUUGUAUUUUACCUUUUUUUGUAACCAGCAAGUUUCAUGAGACAAUUUUUUCAACUGUAAAAAUUACUGAUGAUCUGUGAUUCUCAAGUCAGGUUUUCAUCUAUAGCAAAUUUUGCUGUGUAUCAUUUUGGCCCUUGUCUGUUUCAUUUUGGUCCUUAAAACCAAAACUGCCUCAGAAUCUAAAUGACAUUCUUCUGCCUAUGGAAGAGCCAAGGAGAAAAGUCCAGAACAUAGGUACAUGUAUAUAGGUAUGGUGAUUUGGAGAGAAGUCUAGGAUGAAACGUAAUUUGUAAGCAUUUGCAUCUGGGUAUGAGGGCAAGAGAGUGGAUGACAUCUUACCAAAGAGUAUGUAGCAUAAGAGAAGGGCACCCAAGAAAACUAGGAGAAGGAAUCCAGGAAGGAGUGGUAGAAGGUAGGGAGAAACCCACAAGAUGGCGUUCUUGUGGAAGACAAGUCAAGAAAGAGGAAGUGGUCAACAAUGUUGGAUGCUGCCAAGAGGAUGCAUACUGAAAUGUGUGGAUUUUGCAACAGUAACAUCACCCUGUCAUCGCUGAAGGCAGCCUCAUGAAUGGAGAAAGAUCUGCAGCUGGGUAUACAGAAGAGGAGCAAGAAGGAAGCGAAGAUGUGGAGACAAUUACAAGGACAACACUGGGCUGCAAGAAGAAAAAUUUGCUUAUUGAUUCACUGGUUUGUUUCCUUUUAAUACGAGAGAGACUUAAGCAUGGUUAGGUGCUGAUGGGUUGGAGAGGAGAGGAUGAAUGUACAGGAGAGUUGGAACAGGAUCCCCAAGAAGAGCAUUAAGAUCCCAGUCCUUUCCUGGGGUAGAAUUUAGCAUUGCUGCCUAAAUCUUCAUAUCCUCUGCAGCCGCGUGCCCAAGACAGAACCAUCCUCAAUCUGGCCCAUCCAUUUGGGCUUUUACUUUGGGUUCCCAAUUAAACCCCUAAUUCCUUCCUGGGCCCAGAACUUUCUCCAGAGCUGCUAUCACUUGCUUAUCACCUCUCAGUCAAGGGGAUCUUACUGCCCUUAACCCCACAAUACUAUCGCUUGCCGUGACCCUUGAAUAUUACUGCUUUUGAGAAAGUCUUGCUACCACGUGUUGGCCACAACAUCAGAUAAGCUUUGAUACUCUUGCUUUCCAGCUGUGAGCUGGGUCUUACCCCAUCUACUAGAUCCACCACUCACAAAUUAGAUGAAAUAGAACACUCUGUCGUGACCCUGACCAUUCCCUGUUCUUCCCAUUUGUCCGGAGACUGAAUAAAUUAUGGCAAAACUUUUGUUGCCUUAUGAAUAAUAGAGCGGCAGCCAAUGCACACAUCCUUCUUCUCUCCAUCCACGGAGGGCUCAUCUAACCAUCCCCUGGUGUCUUCACUGCAUGUUUGUUGGGGACUUCCUAGCAUCAGGCACUGUGAUAAGAAAUGGAGGUUAAGCUAUGAAGAAACAUGGCUCCAGCCCUUAGGGAGCUCCCGGUCCUUCAGAAUCUAAACAAUCUCAUGAGUUCAGUUGAACAUAUGAAAUACACUCUUCUUAUCCUCAUGUAAUCAUUUCCCCUGCCAGUCUACACAGCUCGCAAGGGUAAGUCUGUUUUAUGAGUUGGAUAGGUUCCAGGACUGUGAUUUAUCUUAAAGAAAACCCAUCUGCUUAUGUAGCAGCCAAAAUCAGUUACUAAAUCUCCAAGACAUUGAAAAAAAUGGCAUUCUCUUCAAAUCCCUUUAUAUUUUUAGCUAGCAUCCCCUUGCACCCUGACCCUGUUCUGACCUUUUUGUUAGUUGGUUGGUUGGUUGCUUUUGCCUUCAGGACAAAGUGCAGGACAGUUUUGUGUCUGUUCUUGAAUCAAGUGUAUUUGUUUGUUCUCUGUGGAAUUUAGUUCUGAGCGUAUGAAUGAAAUAAAGGUAAACUGAGAGGUCAUAAUCUGUAUCUUUCUCUGAGAAGUUCUCCAAGGCUCUACCUUUGCUUGCUUUGCUGUUUCUUGAUUCCUUGGUUGUGCUUCUGUCUGUGGGUUCCAGCACUGACACCCCAUGUGGGUAGGGUACUGUGAGGGACAGCACAGGUCUGAGAGAGAGAGCCUGGGGAAAGCUGGAGAUGCCCUGUUGUUUUCCUGCACCGGGCCUCUAUACCCCUUGAGGUCAAAGCAUGUCCCAUUAGGUUGAGAAUAAGUCAGAGAUAUUGGACAUAAGUGUCUUCCUAAAAGUUAAAAUGUGCAGUAAACACUACAUUAAAAUUAUCUGUUAACCACUUUAAUAUUAACUUUGAACUCUACAUUAUGGCAGGCUGUUCGGAAAAUUAAAGGUUUCCCAGCACUCUCUUUCUCUCUCUGACAUUGAGUCCACCAGUUCCUGUUCUUGUCCCUUGCAAGGAAUGGGUGGGACUCCACAGGUCCCUGACUGCAUAGUUUUUUCAAAUCCAGUGGGUCUUUCUCUGUUUCCCUUCAGGCUCCCUUGCUUGGAUCACAGAUGUGUGGAAGGCUGCCUAUGAUGCCCUCUGCAUAGAGUGUUGCAGCCACUUGCCCAUUCCUGGCACAAGUCUUCCCCUCCCUGCAGGAAUGGUGCUCAGGACCCCAGUGGCUGCUUUCUUCCUCUUUCUCCCCCACUUCCCUAGGGCGGGAGGUGAGAGGAGUGGUGAAUGUUAGACAGAUGGGCUUUCAUUUUGUAUCCUCCACAUCUGCUCCCUGAGGCAGUGAACACAGGUGCCUACCUGCUUAGAUAGGGGACAGAGGAGCAGGGAGCGAAAGGAUGAACUCUUGUGGAAUCAAAAUUGCACAGCUUUGUAUCUUAAAAUAGUGCCCUGACACACAAACAAAAGCUCUCCUAAAUUACUAGGACUGUUAAAAAAAAAAAAA
Macaca mulatta (Rhesus monkey) is the source of this 11427-nucleotide long non-coding RNA. RefSeq lists it as uncharacterized. NCBI's taxonomy places the organism in Eukaryota, Metazoa, Chordata, Mammalia, Primates, Cercopithecidae. The record is from RefSeq and is a predicted model, not a curated record.